UACGAAGGGGGCUAGCGUUGCUCGGAAUUACUGGGCGUAAAGCGCACGUAGGCGGCUCUUUAAGUCGGGGGUGAAAUCCUGGAGCUCAACUCCAGAACUGCCUUCGAUACUGUAGAGCUUGAGUUCGGGAGAGGUGAGUGGAACUGCGAGUGUAGAGGUGAAAUUCGUAGAGAUCGGAAAGAACACCAACGGCGAAAGCACUCUGCUGGGCCGACACUGACACUGAGAGACGAAAGCUAGGGGAGCGAAUGGG
This 253-nucleotide ribosomal RNA is filed under the name uncultured bacterium. RNAcentral's name for it is "partial 16S ribosomal RNA". It matches the Rfam family "Bacterial small subunit ribosomal RNA", at positions 524 to 776 of the family's 1533-position model. The record is from RNAcentral.